This 250-nucleotide ribosomal RNA is filed under the name uncultured bacterium. RNAcentral's name for it is "partial 16S ribosomal RNA". It matches the Rfam family "Bacterial small subunit ribosomal RNA", at positions 524 to 773 of the family's 1533-position model. The record is from RNAcentral.
UACGGAGGGUGCUAGCGUUGUUCGGAAUCACUGGGCGUAAAGCGCGUGUAGGCGGCUCUCUAAGUCUGGUGUGAAAGCCCGGGGCUCACCCCCGGAAGUGCACUGGAAACUGGGAAGCUAGAGUACCGGAGAGGAGGGUGGAAUUCCUGGUGUAGCGGUGAAAUGCGUAGAUAUCAGGUGGAACACCGGUGGCGAAGGCGGCUUUCUGGACGGUAACUGACGCUGAGACGCGAAAGCGUGGGGAGCAAAC